Molecule: ribosomal RNA, 407 nt
Filed under: uncultured bacterium
Lineage: Bacteria
Description: partial 16S ribosomal RNA
Rfam family: Bacterial small subunit ribosomal RNA
Source: RNAcentral
AUUGAACGCUAGCGGGAUGCUUUACACAUGCAAGUCGAACGGAGUGGCGGACGGGUGAGUAAUAUAUCGGAACGUGCCCAGUAGCGGGGGAUAACUACUCGAAAGAGUGGCUAAUACCGCAUACUAUUGUUGCGGCCGAUAUCGGAUUAGCUAGUUGGCGGGGUAAAGGCUCACCAAGGCAACGAUCCGUAGCUGGUUUGAGAGGACGACCGGCCACACUGGGACUGAGACACGGCCCAGGCUCCAACGGGAGGCAGCAGUGGGGAAUUUUGGACAAUGGGGGAAACCCUGAUCCGGCCAGCCCGCGUGUAUGAUGAAGGACUUCGGGUUGUAAAGUACUUUUGGCAGGGAAGCGGUAUCUGCAGAAUAAGCACCGGCUAACUACGUGCCAGCAGCCGCGGUAAUUC